UACGAAGGGUGCAAGCGUUAUUCGGAGUGAUUGGGCGUAAAGGGUGCGUAGGCGGUGCACUAAGUCAACUGUUAAAUACCUCGGCCUAACUGAGGAUCGGCGGUUGAUACUGGUGUGCUUGAGGAUGGAAGAGAGAAGUGGAAUUCUCGGAGUAGCGGUAAAAUGCGUAGAUCUCGAGAGGAACACCAAUGGCGAAGGCAGCUUCUUGGUCCAUAUCUGACGCUGAUGCACGAAAGCGUGGGGAGCAAACAGG
This 253-nucleotide ribosomal RNA is filed under the name uncultured bacterium. RNAcentral's name for it is "partial 16S ribosomal RNA". It matches the Rfam family "Bacterial small subunit ribosomal RNA", at positions 524 to 776 of the family's 1533-position model. The record is from RNAcentral.